UCCUCUCCCGAGUUGGAAAAGCAGUCCGUGAAGUCUUUGGCUACGGUGCAAACUGUUAGCAAGGCACUGGAACAGCUUUUCAAGGGCGUUUGAAGGAAAAACCUGCCUCUUUGAAGAUUUGCUGACCUCUUCUGUGAAUGCCAAAACAGAGAAAGUAUGGACCACAGAUCAUAUUUUUGCAUAUGGACACCAAUUGUUCCAGCACCAUUGGUUGAAAAUCAUCCUUCUUCCACCAAAUCGCCUUUGUGCUUCUGUCAAAAUCAACUGACCAUAUAUGCGCAUAGAAUGCGGUGCUAGGGUGGCUGAGGAGAAAGACCCAGCUCUCAAGGAGCUCACAGUUGUGGACAGAGGCUGAUCAGUAAAGGAUCCUGGAGCACCCGCCACACGCCAGGCUUUCUGGCAGAAGUCUCGGACGGGCGUCCACAGAUGUAGAGCCUGCAAGAUUCCUUGCAUUCAAAUGAGGACUCCAAGGUGGAGGUGAACUAGACGAAGCAGAAUGCGGGAUGGGGGCAGGUAAGCCAGUAACUGUAACCAAUCUUGGCGGGUGCCGUUCCUGCGUUAGAAGCUGGGGCAGGGUCUUCAGAAACACAACGCAGGGACACCUGAACGGAGUCUUAAUGCACGGGAAGCCCGGUGAAGAGGGAUGUGCGGCCUGGAGGGUGGUGUGCAGAGCCAUAGGCAAGGCCCUGGGGCAGGCACCACGGUGGGUGCAUGUGGGUGGUACGUCUGGAACCAAAAGUGUGAGCAAGAAAUGGUGGCAUCCAAAGCAAGGUCACAGAACCUUCGUCUGCAGUCCUAAGGUGCCGAGGCUCUACCGUGUUGGCCUGUGCGUUUCCUACACUCUCCUGACAAAAAUCACGCACGGCGAUCAUUAGAAGCUGCUUUCCAAGGUCAAACUCAGGCCUACUGCAUCCCAGUCUCGGGAGGAGAGGUUUCGAAUGAGC
Leopardus geoffroyi (Geoffroy's cat) is the source of this 944-nucleotide long non-coding RNA. RefSeq lists it as uncharacterized. The record is from RefSeq and is a predicted model, not a curated record. NCBI's taxonomy places the organism in Eukaryota, Metazoa, Chordata, Mammalia, Carnivora, Felidae. The transcript is spliced from 3 exons.